Molecule: long non-coding RNA, 4996 nt
Organism: Dioscorea cayenensis subsp. rotundata (Guinea yam)
Lineage: Eukaryota; Viridiplantae; Streptophyta; Magnoliopsida; Dioscoreales; Dioscoreaceae
Exons: 2
Source: RefSeq, a predicted model, not a curated record
CAAAACCCUCUCGGACUUUCUUCUCUUUGAGACGUUUUCGAGAAGAUGAGUGAAAGACGAAGACACAGCUCACCGGCGACACUUUAUCGGAAGAAACUUCUCCAUUACGAGGAACGAGAGUCAGCACAAGUGUUUGCCUCCUUCAGUUCAUUCUCUCUUUUUCCUCUUGUUAACUAGAUCUUUGUUUGAUUAGAUCGGGUGUUUUUUUUUUCUAUUUCUAAAAUUUUGUUGCAUGCCACCGAUGGAUUUGGCAGAUCAAAGAUGUUAUUUGGGGGUUUUUUUUAUGGUUUGCUUUGUUUGAUUAUGUUUUGAGAUGACGAAGGAUUUAAUUUUUAUGAGCUUGUUCGGUUUGAUACUCGUAUAUGACGGAGAUGUAUAAAGUCAGUGUUUUUCUAGUUAAUUCAAAACAAAACAAACACAAUAUUUGUAUACUUUUUGCAAGCGCUAUCUUAGAAAUCAACUUAUGUUAUGGUUAAUUCAAGCUACCUUGUUUGUCAAAGGAUUAAUUUGUUUCCCACGAUGCUUCUCGUUCAUUGAUUUUUAUAUUAUGAGAAAGCUUUCUUAAGGGGGUUAGGACUCUUGUUAAGCUUGUCAAACCGUCAAUGUGUAGCUCUCUAGCUAUUGUGGUUGGUGCCAAUGGAAUUGAUUGUUUCUACUUUGGAAUUGUACUAUUGUAGUAAGAGAGAACUUGGAAAAUGUAAAAAAACAAAAAGUUUGCCAAAACUGAAGAUGAUAUGAAAUUCCUACUAAGUGUGGCACAAAUCAUAGGAGAAGUUCUCUGGCCACUCGAUAAUGAACAUUGUAAGUAAUUUGUCUCUUCCUUUAAAUGUGAAUUACUUUUCAAAAUCUUUUGAAUAUGCAGCUUGUUCGAAGACAAAUUAUGAAUAGAGGCUAGUUUAUGUAUUUUAUAGGUAGACACGUGACUUCACAUUUUGCAAAUAAUUUUAUGAUAAAUUUUUGCUGACUCUUGUGGAUUUUCCUUCAUAUGUGGCUUGUUUGGUAUUACAAUGUUUUUUUGAAAAAUCAUGAAUUAGAUUGACUGGGAACUACAAUUAUUUCAAUAUGUUGUCUUUAUUCAUUGGUAUUUCAAUAUGCAUGACCAAAUUUUUAAAUGGUUAUUUUCUCAUAUCCAAUGAUAAAAAAAUUUCACACAACUAGGAUUGCUAAACAUGGUGAGAUCGACUAUGAGGUAGUUGUUAAGCUUAUUGAAGGUUUUAAUGAAGGAGACCUUUGCAAUGUCUCAUUGAAGCUGGAAUGUUAGUAAUCCGUGCAAAGUGUGAUUAUGUUAUCCAUGAGUAUUUUAUGAAGGUAUGAACUUCAUACUUGAUUAAAUAAAUUAGCUUGUCUCUUUAUUAUGAAUUAUUAUAAAUAAUAUAUUACUCUAUCGACAAUGAUGUAUAAAUAUCCUAUGUAUACUUACUUUGCAACAAGUAUCAAAUUUAUAAAGUAUUUUGUAGCAUGCAUAAAAAAUUUGAUUAUAGCAUACAUUCAAUCAUUAAAAUACUUUGUAGCAAUUAUCAUUAGUCACAUGAGUUUUUAAAGGUAUAUGGUUCAUACAAAGGAAUUAGUCUUUACACUAGAAAGGGUUGCCAGGCUUGGUACAACCACUUCUCAUCUUCAAAAAGGGAAGACAUUUAUACUUUUUCUCAGAGAAUAAGUACUUUGAAAAUUAUAUCUGAAAUCUAUUAUGAGGCUAUAUGAAUUAGUAGAAAAAUAGAUCUUGUUUAUAAAAAAAAUUAACUGUGGUAGAAGCUAAUUUAGUUAAAGUGGAAACUAUAUUAGCCAAUUUUGAUUAUAUUAAAAAUAAUAUGAAAAAGAAUAGAGAACGUAAUGGUGUAAAUGAAUUAUACACUUAUAUGGAAAAAUUAACUUUAGGAAAAAAAAAUUUAGAAAACCAAUUUUUGCAUAUACAACAUAGACAAAAGAAGAAUUAAAUAAACCUGCAAAAUAUAGAAUGAAAUUUCGUAAAGGAGUUUUGAAAUAAAAAUAAAGUAUUUACAUAAUUGUCAGGAUUCAAGAAUAACAGAAUGGUUAAUAAAUUCAUCUGAGUUGGAGAUUUGGUUUAAAUAUUCAAGAAUAUGAGUUUUCUUUAAUCCUUAAUUUAGAUAUUUCUCUUUAGUUUUCUUAUAAAAAAAGUUCAAAGAAUCACCUUGAAUGCUAGGUCAAACCCCUCUCCAAAUCUUGCCUAAGAUGCUGGAGAUUUGGUCAUUUUCUUCCUCAAUCUCACCUUCAAGAAUCACCCCCAAAAAAUUAGAUAGAUAGGAUAGAUGAUGCCCUAGAAAUUUUCUUAAAUUCUAUUUAUACUCGAUUGCUUAUGAGCUGCUUAUAGGUGUAAAGACUAGGCCAUAAGGGAGCUGGAGAAGAUAGUCAAGAGCCUUACGGGAAUGCUUACAGCUGUAAAUCUCAUCUGUAAGGUCUUCUAAAUGUGUUACGGUCCAGCUUAACACUGUAAGGGCUGGACCGUAAGCUUCACUGCCUGUUUCGUGCAACUGUCCUUACAGGCAUGCAUUGUGGUCGUAGGCUCCUCUAGAUGGUACUUACAGGCAUCCUUACGAGUGAAAGCCUUGCCCGUAAGGUCCUCUGAAUUGACUCUGAAUCCUUCUUACGGGCAUAACAUUCUUGCAAGGUCUUCUAGACUAUACUUAUAGCCGUAAGGCUGACCGUAAACUGCCCCUAAGCCACCCAGUUUGGCUUGUCCUUGUUCUAAUAAUGUUGAGAGAGCUCCAACUUCAUCAUUUUUAGUCUAAAAUGCUUUUUUUUGGCUCUCUAUUAUCUUUAAGCACUGCCUUAAGCUUGUUAAUGCAAAACUAACGAUGUUUAGCAUCGAGUUCCACAUUAUGGUUUUAAUACAUUCCAAAUGAGUGUACAAAUAGAUAUGAAAUACAUGAACAACACACACUCAUUAGUUUUAAUGAUUUCUUCAAUAGAAUUGUAUAAUUUAAUUUCAAGUCGAUACUUAAAUUUAUACAAUGUUUAUAAAGAAGAAUUAGAUGUAGUACAAAAGGUUGUCUCUUCAAUAGCUUCCUUCUUUAUAAUGAAUUAUUAGAAAUAAUAUAUUACUCUAUCAAUAAUGAUGUAUAAAUAUCCUAUGUAUCAAAUUUAUAAAGUAUUUUGUAUAAUACCCGAAUUUGUCUCUCUACUUUUCUUUCUCUUCCCUUUCGUUCCCUUCACUCAAAAAUGCUCCCAACCAGUCUAUCUACUCUUGAAAAUUGGCCAACUUAGUUCCUCUACUCGUGUUCUCUUCCCUUUUGGCAAUAUCAUGUAGGGGCUAGUUGGCCUAUUUUUAAUAGUAGAAGGACUAUUUAGGAGAAUUUCUAAGUAGAGGGACCAAAAGGCUGAGAAAGAAAAGUUGAGGGACCAAUUUGGGUAUUAUACCAAAGUAUUUUGUAGUACAUAUAAAAAAUUUGAUUAUAAUACGUAUUGAAUCAUUAAAGUACUUUGUAGCAAUUAUCACUAGUCCGGUUAGUUUUUAAAAAUAUAUAGUUCAUACAGAGGAACGAGUCUUUACACUACAAAAAUGAAGCUUGGCCUAGUCCAGGCAUUUCUCUCAUUCCAUAAAUGGAAGACAUUUGCACUUUUCCUCGGAGAACAAGUACUUUGAAAAUUAUAUCUGAAAUCUAUUAAGAAUCUAUAUAAAUAAAUAGGAAAAAUAGAUCUUAUUUAUAAAAAAGUUAACUAUCGCAGAAGCUAAUUUAGUUAAAGGGGAAACUAUAUUAGCUAGUUUAAAUUAUAUUAAAAAUAAUAUGAAAAAGAAUAGAGAAAGUAAUGAUGUGAAUGAGUAUUAGUUCUAGUUUUCAGUCUUGCAAAACUCUGUACUAUUAAUAAGGUGCCUCCUAAAAUUAGCUCUUUGCUAAUGAGCUUCCAAUCUUUUUCUUGUGUCGUUUUUGUUUAGUAUUAUGUUAUGUUCUCGUGUUAUGGCAAAUGGAUGGCAUGUUCUCAGAUGAAAUCUGUGAUUUAUCUUUCAUAUUCCUUUUGCAUUUCAUUUUUAGUUUUUUUUUUCAUUUGGCACAUGAUAUCUGAAACCUUCUUUGGGCUAUAGUUCUAUUAUAUCACCGGUCGUUUGGCUAGUUCUUUCAAAGUAUAAUGUCAAGUAUCUUUAGAAAAGGAUUUUGUUCAUCACUAGACAAAGUCUGACUCUUCACCAAUUUAUUUUUGAUUUGUUUGUUACUUCUAUUUUCAAACAUCAUAUUUUGUUAUUAAUGUGGCAAAAGUUUGCUGAUGAAUUUGGGGUUCAUAAUCUUUAGAAGGUGGUUUACAUCAAUGCAAUAACAUAAUUUCAUCAAGUCGUUUUCUGAAUAUCUAUUUGUUGUCUGUACUCUUGGUUUGUAGCCACCAAUAAACAUCAAUUGCUUAUGUCUUUUAUACUAAUUUUGUUUUGUAUGAUCUAGAUUUUUGUUUUUGUUUGUGAAGAAUCUGCAAGUUCAUGUUAUGGUACUAAUUGGAUUUGCUAUUGGAGGUAGUCUGGCCAUUCAUUUUGCUAAAAGCAAUUAGAAACUAGUAUUUUGGUACAAUUUCACCUUUGUGAAGUGUUUGUUGUUGAUGUUAUGGUUUCAAUUGGAUUUGCUAUUGAAAGUAAUCUGGCCAUUCUAACUGUUAAGAGCGGUUAGAAUGUAGUAUUUUGUCAGGGUUUGUGUUGCGCGUGUGCUUGCUAUAUUUUGUUUUUUUGAAAUUGAUUUCUGGGCUGUUUUAAAACUUAGUUUUAAUUGAUCUAACUAAUUUGUUUGUGUGUGUGUGUGUGUGUGUGUUGGAAAUUCAUGUGGUGCUUGGUAUUCUCUAAAGAAAAUAUUGUUUCAUCAAAGAUGUUUUUCCUGUGUGGAUGUACUUGUUGGUUUAUAUUUGAGAUGUCCAGGAACACUGGUUCGGGUUACGGUUGGAUUGAAAUUUUUUUAUUUUAUUAAUUAGCUUGUAUUAUUGUUAUACUCUUUAUGGAGGGAUGUUAAUAUUUUAGAUCAAAAAGGGCUCUACUAUAAAACAAUAUGAGGUGGGGCAUGUUUCA